RNAcentral lists this ribosomal RNA (638 nucleotides) under uncultured bacterium. Its description in RNAcentral is "bacterial SSU rRNA". It matches the Rfam family "Bacterial small subunit ribosomal RNA", at positions 114 to 722 of the family's 1533-position model. The record is from RNAcentral.
CACGUUAAACAACCUGCCUUCAGGAUGGGGACAACAGACGGAAACGACUGCUAAUACCGAAAUACGCUUGGGAGACCGCAUGAUCUUCCAAGGAAAGGGUGGCCUCUACCUGUAAGCUAUCGCCUGAAGAGGGGUUUGCGUCUGAUUAGGCAGUUGGUGAGGUAACGGCCCACCAAACCUACGAUCAGUAGCCGGUCUGAAAGGAUGAACGGCCACACUGGAACUGAGACACGGUCCAGACUCCUACGGGAGGCAGCAGUGGGGAAUCUUCCGCAAUGGGCGAAGGCCUGACGGAGCACCGCCGCGUGGAGUGAAUGAACGGCCUUCGGGUUGUAAAGCUCCUGUGAUCGGGGACGAACGGUCCGUAAGCUAAUACUUUAUGGAAGUGACGGUACCCGAAUAGCAAGCCACGGCUAACUACGUGCCAGCAGCCGCGGUAAUACGUAGGUGGCAAGCGUUGUCCGGAAUUAUUGGGCGUAAAGCGCGCGCAGGCGGCUUUCUAAGUCCAUCUUAAAAGUGCGGGGCUUAACCCCGUGAUGGGAUGGAAACUGGAAAGCUGGAGUAUCGGAGAGGAAAGUGGAAUUCCUAGUGUAGCGGUGAAAUGCGUAGAGAUUGGGAAGAACACCGGUGGCGAAGGC